RNAcentral lists this unclassified non-coding RNA (143 nucleotides) under Flavobacterium cucumis. RNAcentral describes it as "Flavo-1 RNA". The record is from RNAcentral. Lineage: Bacteria; Pseudomonadati; Bacteroidota; Flavobacteriia; Flavobacteriales; Flavobacteriaceae.
CAAUAGCCCUGAUAGUAAUGAAAAGCCCGGAGCAAUAAAAAUGUAGUUUUUGUUGUUUUAAAAAUGCGACCUAAGAAGCACUUUUUAAAAUAUAGAAAAACAGCUUUUUAUGCGAGGACUUGUAAUGAAUAGCAGGAAUAGCU